This 305-nucleotide ribosomal RNA is filed under the name uncultured bacterium. Its description in RNAcentral is "bacterial SSU rRNA". It matches the Rfam family "Bacterial small subunit ribosomal RNA", at positions 338 to 640 of the family's 1533-position model. The record is from RNAcentral.
CCUACGGGACGCAGCAGUGAGGAAUAUUGGUCAAUGGGCGAGAGCCUGAACCAGCCAAGUCGCGUGAGGGAAGACGGUCCUAUGGAUUGUAAACCUCUUUUGUCGGGGAGCAAAAAGGCCUCGUGAGGCCACAAGUGAGAGUACCCGAAGAAAAAGCAUCGGCUAACUCCGUGCCAGCAGCCGCGGUAAUACGGAGGAUGCGAGCGUUAUCCGGAUUUAUUGGGUUUAAAGGGUGCGCAGGCGGAAGAUCAAGUCAGCGGUAAAAUUGAGAGGCUCAACCUCUUCGAGCCGUUGAAACUGGUUUU